RNAcentral lists this ribosomal RNA (254 nucleotides) under uncultured bacterium. RNAcentral describes it as "partial 16S ribosomal RNA". It matches the Rfam family "Bacterial small subunit ribosomal RNA", at positions 524 to 776 of the family's 1533-position model. The record is from RNAcentral.
UACGGGGGGGGCAAGCGUUGUUCGGAAUUACUGGGCGUAAAGGGCUCGUAGGCGGCCAACUAAGUCAGACGUGAAAUCCCUCGGCUUAACCGGGGAACUGCGUCUGAUACUGGAUGGCUUGAGAUUGGGAGAGGGAUGCGGAAUUCCAGGUGUAGCGGUGAAAUGCGUAGAUAUCUGGAGGAACACCGGUGGCGAAGGCGGCAUCCUGGACCAACACUGACGCUGAGUGAGCGAAAGCCAGGGGAGCAAACGGG